RNAcentral lists this long non-coding RNA (779 nucleotides) under Mus spicilegus (steppe mouse). Its description in RNAcentral is "lncRNA (ENSMSIG00000022752.1)". Lineage: Eukaryota; Metazoa; Chordata; Mammalia; Rodentia; Muridae. The record is from RNAcentral.
AGGGAAUCCGGUCCCGUUCAAUAUCGUGGAUGAAUGUGGAGGGCAUUCUUAAGUAGUCAGCUAGUCACAGAGAGAGGAGCACACAGUGUACUUGUUACGUGUGGAAUCUGACGUAGUCAAAGUCUUAGGAGCUGAGCGUAGAGCGGUGGGCGCAGGCGCCUGUAGGGAGGAUGGCUGAAGAACUCUUGGCCAAAGAGUGCAGGACUUUAGUUAGACAUGAGUGACUUGAGUGGUAUUGGUCUGUCGUUUAUUUGACAGUUACCAGAACAGCGUAUGGUUUAGCACGAGUUGUAUCCUCCUCACGGAGCCCAGGGCUGCCAGGCUUACAUCCUUACCUUCCAGCUCCGAAGAGGAAGAGCGUCCCUUCUCCCAUCGAUUCCAAAAGCUCAGUUGCCAGAUGGAAUCACGCCCUGAACCAUUCCUGAAGGGAUGAAGCGGGAUUCAUGUGUAGAAGAGAAAGACCUGCAGUCACUUUUGAGUGAUUCCAGACAGGAGGGCAGAAGAAAAAAAGACCAGGCAGAAAUCAAGUUAGGAAAUGGCCUGCAUCUUCCACAGCUCAAGUUUGUGGUGGGUCAUGAAGAGUGAUUCCCAAAACCAUUCUGUCCAUCAACUCCUUUCCUGGACCCUGUCUUCUGCUUCUCCUACUUAGUUUUGGAAAAGAAAAAAAAAUCAUGGAAAACCAAUCCCAUGGAAAGGUUUUAGAAAGGAUCUCCGGUUUCCUACCAAAGACUCCCAGAGCACGUUCCGACUGUAGUGUUAUUAAAGUGACUCAGAUACCA